CCUACGGGUGGCAGCAGUGGGGGAUAUUGCACAAUGGGGGGAACCCUGAUGCAGCGACGCCGCGUGGGUGAAGAAGCGCCUCGGCGCGUAAAGCCCUGUCAGCAGGGAAGAAAAUGACGGUACCUGAAGAAGAAGCCCAGGCUAACUCCGUGCCAGCAGCCGCGGUAAUACGUAGGGGGCAAGCGUUCUCCGGAUUUACUGGGUGUAAGGGGGGCGCAGACGGCGUUGCAAGCCAGGAGUGAAAGCACGGGGCACAACCCCGGGACUGCGCUUGGAACUGCGUGGCUGGAGUGGAGGGGGGGCAGGCGGAAUUCGUGUGGGAGCGGUGAAAGGUGUGGAUCUCAGGAGCAAAACCGGUGGCGAAGGCGGCAAGAUGGAUUGCAACUGACGUGGAGGUCCGAAAGCGUGGGGAGCAAACAGGAUGAGAUACCCGGGUAGUC
RNAcentral lists this ribosomal RNA (440 nucleotides) under uncultured bacterium. RNAcentral's name for it is "partial 16S ribosomal RNA". It matches the Rfam family "Bacterial small subunit ribosomal RNA", at positions 338 to 795 of the family's 1533-position model. The record is from RNAcentral.